Long non-coding RNA from Engraulis encrasicolus (European anchovy), 1557 nucleotides. RefSeq lists it as uncharacterized. The transcript is spliced from 5 exons. NCBI's taxonomy places the organism in Eukaryota, Metazoa, Chordata, Actinopteri, Clupeiformes, Engraulidae. The record is from RefSeq and is a predicted model, not a curated record.
UGGCACAUAUUUUACCAUAUCAUCUGAAAAACUCCUCAUGACGCCAUAGCACCCAUUGAAAUAGAGUGUUUGGAAAAAAACCGAAAUCUUUUGGUCCAGUCUAGAGGGCGUAGUCAGAAGAAAACGGCAACCAAUAGAAGUAAUACUCAUCAUCACUUCUAUUGGUUUCUGACACGUCCAUCAACCGCCAGCACUCACCCCUCCUCCCUGCGCGUUCACCGACUCGUGAACUUGACCGACCCCGCCCCUAUCAUUCAUGCACACGCGACAAGGCUCAUCAUCACUCGGCUAGUAGCAAGGUAACUAGAGUUAGCAGCAGGCUGAGCUACUUGAAAACUUUGGUGGCUUUUGCAGAGCUACAGGAAGAACUUUGGCUUUUGGAACACUGGACUAACCAUGUCAGGAUAACAUACUCCCAUAGUCAUCGGACUCGCAAGACCAGACUCCAACACGGGCUGAAAAUUUGAAAUGGGACCUGACACUCUUGGACACAGAUGUCGGCUACGGCAGCGGCUUCAAAUACGCUUUGGUGACCAUAUUUCGAAUCGAGAGUUGUGCGAACGAGCCAGACAAACCAGCUGGGAGGAGGACGGAAGCACCCCUUCUCCAUCCGCGUUCAGUUGCUAAAUACUGAUUCACCACGUAGUGUGGUGUUUUCCAUAGCUGUUCCUUGCUCCUGUAUCACAACAUAUCAAGGCUGCCAAGUAAAUGAAGAAUGAAUCACCGCACACUGGUCAACAGCAGACAGGGUCCUUCCACAACCACAUACUUAUGCCAGUAAAAGCCACAGCUUUUCUCCUCCAAUCCAAGAAGCCUGGACUGCAGUCACCAUCUCAACACACCAACCAAGAGAAAGGCGGAUGGCUCAAUUCAGUAUGUAGUUCUGCAAAUAUUCUCAAAGGUCUUCACAGCCCCCCAUGGUGCUGAAUGCAUUUACAUUUAUUUGUGUAAGGUAAAAACAAUGCUGAUUACAGAACAUAACUAGGGCCAUGAAUGAAAUUUGAGGUAGCAGCCAGUCAUCACCUGAUGGUGAGAGGUGGUCCUAAGAUCAGAGAGAAGCAGGUUGAAAUCCCAUCCUUACCUCUCCCUACCUACACCUCCAUCCACAGCUGAAGUGCACUUGAGCAAGGCACACAAGUCCACUUAGGUCCUGGGACUGUAGCCAACACCCUGUAAAACCCUGCUGUGUAAUUUGAUGUAAUGAAGCCCUAAUAUAGUCUAACACAUUGCUUGUUACAGAUAUGGAAAAUUGCACAAUAAAAGUUCCAGGACAUGAAGGCUGCAUACUGUGAACGUCAACCUUCAGGGCACCGUCCUGCGCAGAAGACUUUCUACCCUAAGAGGGAUGGCUGACCGCAGACAAUCACAACCAGCACUUACGCCUCCAACCUCAGACUAGGCCCUUCACAGUUGCUGCACUUACCCACCUUCCCAGAGUUUUUGUGUGGUAAUGACAACUGUAAAUAUAGUAUAAAGUAAUGUAUCUAGUGUCAUGUGUAAUACAUUGUUUAAAUUGUCCAUACAUUUCAAUGACAGUAAAUAUUGGUGGACACAAUU